This 444-nucleotide ribosomal RNA is filed under the name uncultured bacterium. Its description in RNAcentral is "partial 16S ribosomal RNA". It matches the Rfam family "Bacterial small subunit ribosomal RNA", at positions 355 to 810 of the family's 1533-position model. The record is from RNAcentral.
UGGGGAAUAUUGCACAAUGGGCGAAAGCCUGAUGCAGCGACGCCGCGUGAGGGAUGACGGCCUUCGGGUUGUAAACCUCUUUCAGCAGGGAAGAAGCGAAAGUGACGGUACCUGCAGAAGAAGCGCCGGCUAACUACGUGCCAGCAGCCGCGGUAAUACGUAGGGCGCAAGCGUUGUCCGGAAUUAUUGGGCGUAAAGAGCUCGUAGGCGGUUAGUCGCGUCUGCUGUGAAAACUCGAGGCUCAACCUCGGGCUUGCAGUGGGUACGGGCUGACUAGAGUGCGGUAGGGGUGACUGGAAUUCCUGGUGUAGCGGUGGAAUGCGCAGAUAUCAGGAGGAACGCCGAUGGCGAAGGCAGGUCACUGGGCCGCAACUGACGCUGAGGAGCGAAAGCAUGGGGAGCGAACAGGAUUAGAUAGCCCUGGUAGUCCAUGCCGUAAACGUU